GAAAUCAGUUCAGCACUAAGUCACUUUGUCUAUAUGGCAAAUGUGAGAUGCAGUGUAUGGAACAUCAAUAUUCUAGUAUGAGAAAUUAACGAUUUAAGUCCUUCUUAAAUGAGGCCAUUUACCCAUAGAGGGUGCCAGGCCCGUAUAACGUUAAUGAUUAUUAGAUGGUGUUUCCAAAGAGUCGUGUUGCUUGAUAGUGCAGCACUAAGUGGGUGGUAAACUCCAUCUAAAACUAAAUAUAACCAUGAGACCGAUAGUAAACAAGUACCGUGAGGGAAAGUUGAAAAGAACUCUGAAUAGAGAGUUAAAUAGUACGUGAAACUGCUUAGAGGUUAAGCCCGAUGAACCUGAAUAUCCGUUAUGGAAAAUUCAUCAUUAGAGUUGUAAUAUUUAAACAAUAUUAUAAUAAUAGUGUGCAUUUUUUCCAUAUAAGGACAUUGUAAUCUAUUAGUAUCAAUAAUUUAUCAAAAAAUUUUAGAAAAUAGCUUAUUUAAAUUAAAGUGCUUGCAUUUUAACAUAAAAUAAAUUUCCUAAAUUUGAUAAAGUGCUGAUAGAUUUAUAUGAAUACAGUGCGUUAAUUUUUCGGAAUUAUAUAAUGGCAUGAUUAUCAUUGAUUUUUAUGUUUAUUAUAUGCACUUGUAUGAUAACAAUGCGAAAGA
RNAcentral lists this ribosomal RNA (659 nucleotides) under Drosophila nigromaculata. Its description in RNAcentral is "eukaryotic LSU rRNA". It matches the Rfam family "Eukaryotic large subunit ribosomal RNA", at positions 100 to 630 of the family's 3401-position model. Lineage: Eukaryota; Metazoa; Arthropoda; Insecta; Diptera; Drosophilidae. The record is from RNAcentral.